RNAcentral lists this ribosomal RNA (253 nucleotides) under uncultured bacterium. RNAcentral describes it as "partial 16S ribosomal RNA". It matches the Rfam family "Bacterial small subunit ribosomal RNA", at positions 524 to 776 of the family's 1533-position model. The record is from RNAcentral.
AACGUAGGACACGAGCGUUAUCCGGAGUUACUGGGCGUAAAGGGCGAGUAGGUGGUGCGAUAAGACUGGUGUGAAAGCCUUCGGCUUAACCGAGGGAGGACACUGGUGACUGUCGGACUUGAGGCAGAUAGAGGGGUGUAGAAUUCCGGGUGUAGUGGUGAAAUGCGUAGAGAUCCGGAGGAAUACCAGUGGCGAACGCGACUACCUGGCCCAUUCUUGACGCUGAGGCGCGAAAGCUAGGGGAGCGAACGGG